This 1346-nucleotide ribosomal RNA is filed under the name uncultured bacterium. RNAcentral describes it as "bacterial SSU rRNA". It matches the Rfam family "Bacterial small subunit ribosomal RNA", at positions 28 to 1381 of the family's 1533-position model. The record is from RNAcentral.
GACGAACUUUGGCGGCGUGCUUAACACAUGCAAGUCGAACGGAAAGGCCCUGCUUUUGUGGGGUGCUCGAGUGGCGAACGGGUGAGUAACACGUGAGUAACCUGCCCUUGACUUUGGGAUAACUUCAGGAAACUGGGGCUAAUACCGGAUAGGAGCUCCUGCUGCAUGGUGGGGGUUGGAAGGUUUCGGCUGUUGGGGAUGGACUCGCGGCUUAUCAGCUUGUUGGUGGGGUAGUGGCUUACCAAGGCUUUGACGGGUAGCCGGCCUGAGAGGGUGACCGGCCACAUUGGGACUGAGAUACGGCCCAGACUCCUACGGGAGGCAGCAGUGGGGAAUAUUGCACAAUGGGCGGAAGCCUGAUGCAGCAACGCCGCGUGCGGGAUGACGGCCUUCGGGUUGUAAACCGCUUUCGCCUGUGACGAAGCGUGAGUGACGGUAAUGGGUAAAGAAGCACCGGCUAACUACGUGCCAGCAGCCGCGGUGAUACGUAGGGUGCGAGCGUUGUCCGGAUUUAUUGGGCGUAAAGGGCUCGUAGGUGGUUGAUCGCGUCGGAAGUGUAAUCUUGGGGCUUAACCCUGAGCGUGCUUUCGAUACGGGUUGACUUGAGGAAGGUAGGGGAGAAUGGAAUUCCUGGUGGAGCGGUGGAAUGCGCAGAUAUCAGGAGGAACACCAGUGGCGAAGGCGGUUCUCUGGGCCUUUCCUGACGCUGAGGAGCGAAAGCGUGGGGAGCGAACAGGCUUAGAUACCCUGGUAGUCCACGCUGUAAACGGUGGGUACUAGGUGUGGGGUCCAUUCCACGGGUUCCGUGCCGUAGCUAACGCUUUAAGUACCCCGCCUGGGGAGUACGGCCGCAAGGCUAAAACUCAAAGGAAUUGACGGGGCCCCGCGCAAGCGGCGGAGCAUGCGGAUUAAUUCGAUGCAACGCGUAGAACCUUACCUGGGUUUGACAUGGAUCGGGAGUGCUCAGAGAUGGGUGUGCCUCUUUUGGGGUCGGUUCACAGGUGGUGCAUGCCUGUCGUCAGCUCGUGUCGUGAGAUGUUGGGUUAAGUCCCGCAACGAGCGCAACCCUUGUUCACUGUUGCCAGCACGUUAUGGUGGGGACUCAGUGGAGACCGCCGGGGUCAACUCGGAGGAAGGUGGGGAUGACGUCAAGUCCUCAUGCCCCUUAUGUCCAGGGCUUCACGCAUGCUACAAUGGCUGGUACAGAGAGUGGCGAGCCUGUGAGGGUGAGCGAAUCUCGGAAAGCCGGUCUCAGUUCGGAUUGGGGUCUGCAACUCGACCUCAUGAAGUCGGAGUCGCUAGUAGUCGCAAAUCAGCAACGCUGCGGUGAAUACGUUCCCGGGGCC